UUGGCAAGCUGAUGAUCCUUCAAAAAAUUUGGAUUAUUACGAACUAAUUCUUACAGAUACUCAAUCUGUAGAAAUAUUCCCCAUUCCAGACAAAAAGAAUCCAAAUAUAAUUAGCCAUUCUAAGUGUAUAAUAAAGAAAGUUUGUUCACCAAAUGAAUGGACUUCUCUUUAUUCCAAAAAAUCAUUCUCAGUCAGAUUCAUUCCAGAUGGAUUCACAUAUCAAGAUUAUAAAAUGGCAUGGUAUCGUGCUUUUUUAUACAGACCAUGCAAUCAUUCAUGGUUCUUCACAUUCAAAGAAAGUUGUGCCAGAGAAUUUCCAAUUUGAUUCAAUCAUUGGUGGCAAUGGUUCAGCCCUCAAAAGGAAAUAUUACCUCCAAAUGUGUUAAUGGGAUUUCAGACUUAUCUCAAAAGAGCAAAGGGGAAGAGUAUAUAAGACCUAUAUUAUUCCAUAUAGAAUUCAAAGUACCAUGGAUAUUUUGCUGGAGUUUCAAAAUUCAUCAAGAAUUAGAAAAACCUCUUCCAAUGUCACUAGUCAGAGAAUUCAAUUACAUAAAAUGCAGCACAACUCCAAGGUGAUUUUGAAGGUGUUAUUAAUCCUUUGUCUAUUAAUGUUUUUAUUUCUUUUUUACAAAAUUCAUUACAGAAUUUAUCUAAGCCUCAAACUCCUACAAUAAAUACAUUAGAUCAAAUAAUAGAAGACAAUUCAUCUGAAGAUAUAAAUAAUUCAUCUGAAGAAUCAAUAAAUUCAGAAAUCGAAGAAAAUAUAAUUUUUCCAAUAGAAAAACAAUUUGAAGAAAAAGAAGAUAAUCGAAUAAAUAAAAUUAAAAGAAGAAGAACUUAUAAUAGAAAUGAUAAUAAAAAUUGAAAAAUGGUAAGUACAAAGAAUUAUUAUUCAAGACCUAGUCCUCUAGAUAUUCAAUAUGAAGAAAGAUCAAAAUUUCGUACCACUAAAUAUGAUGGAGACUCAAUUUAUGAAUGGAAUAUAGAUUGAUUUAUGACUUCUGGAACAGGAGUUUUAUAUUUAAAAGUUGAAGUACUUUCUAAAGGAAAAUUUAUUUCAAGUACAUCUGAUUGAAUAUUUCCAAUUAAAAUCAGAAUAUAAAGAAAAAUUAAUAUUAGAAUGGAAAGAUGAAUUAGAAAAAAGAAAAUUUGAUUUUCCUUUCUUUACUUGGCUAUCAUUCUAUAUAGGAAUAAAUGAUGUCUAUAAUACACCACAAAUUAAUGUUCAAACUAAUUUAUAUAAAAAAUGGAAAUUAAAAGAUGAUCAAAUUAUAACAUCUAUACAUCCUCCAUUACAAGAAGUAAAAAUAAACAUCGGUCAAGGAGAUAUAAUAGCCUCACCUUUUAAAAAGGGUAGAGAAGUUGAAUCCAGUACAAAUAACACUAUAAAUUUAGAAGAUAUCAAAAAGAUUUAUCAACAAAAUAAUUAUACAAAUCAAAUUCUUCAUACAAUAUCUCAACAUAUGGAAGUAUUAAAUACAAAAAUUGAUACAUUAAAGAAACCAGAAUCUAAAUUCCCUAAUGACAUUUCAGCACCACAUUUCCAGCCUAGAAGUUUGACAAGAGAAAAAGAACAAGAAUUAAUCCAAAAUAUUAAUAAUCAAAAAAUAAAUACUACAGACAAUAUAUUAAAUAGAAUAUCACAAUCAUUACAGAAUUUAUCUAAGCCUCAAACUCCUAAAAUAAAUACAUUAGAUCAAAUAAUAGAAGACAAUUCAUCUGAAGAUAUAAAUAAUUCAUCUGAAGAAUCAAUAAAUUCAGAUUUCGAAGAAAAUAUAAUUUUUCCAAUAGAAAAACAAUUUGAAGAAAAAGAAGAUAAUCGAAUAAAUAAAAUUAAAAGAAGAAGAACUUAUAAUAGAAAUGAUAAUAAAAAUUGGAAAAUGGUAAGUACAAAGAAUUAUUAUUCAAGACCUAGUCCCCCAGAUAUCCAAUAUGAAGAAAGAUCAAAAUUUCGUACCACUAAAUAUGAUGGAGACUCAAUUUAUGAAUGGAAUAUAGAUGGCAAAGCAGAAUAUGAAGUAUUAAAUAAUUUACAAGAAAUGGGAAUGGCUAGAUUAGCUUAUAAAAUAAAAAAUAUUCAAGAAAGAAAUAUUGCAACAUUAUUAGUUUCAAGAUUUACUGGACAAUUAAAGAAUUGGUGGGAUAAUGCUUUAACACUUCAAGAUAAAUUAUCAAUAUUAGAUCAUACACAAGAAAUUGAAGAUGAUCAAGGAAAUAUUCAAAUUCAAUCAGAUGCUGCAGAAUUCUUGAUAGUAACAAUAGUAAUGUAUUUCAUAGGAAAUCCAAAAGAAGAAUUAAAUUCUAAUAAAACAUUUUUAACAAACUUAAGAUGUCCAACAUUAUCAGACUUUAGAUGGUAUAAAGAUAUGUUUUUAACAAAUGUAUUAAGAAGACCAGAUUGCAAUGCUUCAUUCUGGAAAGAAAGAUUCAUAACAGGAUUACCAAGCUUAUUUUCACAAAGAAUAAUGGAUAGUUUGCAAAAGGAAAUGGGAACAGAUGUAAUUUCAUUUGAAAAUAUUACUUUUGGACAAUUAUUUGCUUUUGUGAAAAAAGAAGGAUUAAUGUUAUGCUCAGAAUUAAAAUUACAAAUAAAAUAUGGUUCAAAAACAAAAGAAGUAGGAUCAUUUUGUGAUGCAUUUGGAAUUAAAAGAAUUAAAUCACCCUCUGCAUACAAAAAGAAAAUUAAAAAAUAUAACAAUAAGAAAAUAAGAUACAAAAGAACUGAAGGAAAUAAACCAGAAAAGAAAAGAAGAUUUAUUAAAAAGAAAAUUAUUUGCUACAAAUGUGGGAAAGUAGGACAUAAAGCAAAUAAAUGUAAUUUAAAAGAAAAAAUUACUGAAAUUUGUGCAGAAGAAGAAGAGAUUAAAAAUAAAUUAAUAAACUUAUUAAUAAAUGAAAAAAAUCAAAGUUCAGAAGAUGAUUAUUAUAAUGACAUAAGUACUUCAGAAAGUGAAGAAGAUUGUAAUUGUUCAAAUACUCCAAAAUAUAUAAAUGUUAUAACUAAAAAAGAAGAUAAAGAAUUCUUAUUAGAUAUAAUAGAAAAGAUUAAUGAUCCAAUAGCUAAAAAGGAAUAUUUGGAAAGAUUAAAAAGUCUAAUUAUUCAAGAAGAUAAAAUGCCAAAGAUAAUAGAACCUUUUAGCAUUUCGAAAUUAAUAGAUAAAUAUCCAAAUAUAAAUAUAAUGAAAAAAGAAACGACUAAAGAUCUUCAAACAGAAAUCAAUAAUCUUAAAAUACAGAUAAAACAAUUACAACAAGAGAUUAUAGAAUUAAAAACAAAAGAUUUAGAAAUAGAAGCAAAAAUAUCCUUAAUAUAUAAUCAACCAUCAACUUCUAAUUCCAAAACAGAAGAAAUAUGUUUAUCUGAAAAACCAGUAGAUGAAAUUCAAUAUUUAAAUACAAUAAAAAAAAUGACAUUUCAAAAAUGGUAUGCUUUAGUAACCAUUACUGUAGAAGAUUUCAAAGAAACACAUGUAACUCUAAUAGAUAGUAGAGCUGAUUCAAGUUGUAUUAAAGAAGGAAUAAUUCCUACUAAAUAUUGUGAAAGAACAAAUGAAACAUUAAUGGCAGCAAAUGGAGAAAAUUUACAAGUAAAAUAUAAAUUUACAAAAGGAUCAAUAUGUAAUAAUGAAUAUUGUAUCAGACAUAAUUUUAUAAUUGUAAAAAAUAUAAAUCAUGAUAUAAUAUUAGGAACACCUUUUUUAAUUCAAAUUUACCCAUUUGCAGUAAACCAUGAAGGAAUUUCAAUAAAUAUAAUGGGAAAAACUAUUACUUUUAAAUUCUUAACUCCAAUAAGACAAAGAGAAUUACAGAUAUUACAAACAUCUUCUAUUUAUAAAACAAUAAAUACUAUUACUAAAGUACAACAACAUAUAAACUAUAUCAAAGAAGAGAAAUCUUAUUUAAAAAUUGAAGAACAAUUAAAAGAAGCUAAAAUACAAAAAGAAUUUCUGAAAUAGAAGAAUUAUUGAAAAAAGAAAUUUGUGCAAAUAUUCCUAAUGCUUUUUGGGAUAGAAAACAACAUAUGAUAGAAUUACCUUAUGAAAAAGAAUUCAAUGAAAAGAAUAUUCCAACAAAAGCUAGACCAAUACAAAUGAAUUCUGAUUUAUUAGAAUUUUGUAAAAAAGAAAUAAAAACAUUAAUAGACAAAGGAUUAAUAACACCUUCAAAAUCACCUUGGAGUUGUGCUGCAUUUUAUGUAAUGAAUCAAGCUGAAAAAGAAAGAGGAGUUCCAAGAUUAGUCAUAAAUUAUAAACCAUUAAAUAAAGUUUUACAAUGGAUUAGAUAUCCUAUUCCUAAUAAAAAGGAUUUGCUUAAUAGAUUAUUUAAUGCAAAAAUAUUUUCUAAAUUUGAUUUAAAAUCAGGAUAUUGGCAAAUAUUAAUAACUCCAGAAGAUAGAUACAAAACAGCAUUUACAACACCUUUUGGCCAUUAUGAAUGGAAGGUUAUGCCAUUUGGAUUAAAAAAUGCACCAUCAGAAUUUCAAAAUAUAAUGAAUGAUAUUUUUAAUCCUUAUAGUUCAUUCAGCAUUGUAUAUAUAGAUGAUGUAUUAAUAUUUUCAGAAUCAAUAGAACAACAUUUUAAACAUUUAAAUAUAUUUCUAAAAAUAGUUAAGAAAAAUGGAUUAGUAGUAUCGGCCCCAAAAAUGAAAUUAUUUCAAACAAAAAUAAGAUUUCUAGGACACAAUAUAUAUCAAGGAACAAUAAAAUCAAUUGAUAGAGCUUUAGAAUUUGCUACUAAAUUUUCAGAUGAAAUAAAAGAUAAAAAUCAAUUACAAAGGUUUUUAGGAUGUUUAAAUUAUAUAGCAGAUUUCUUUCCCAAAUUAAGGCAAGAAUGUUCUAUAUUAUUUAAUAGACUAAAGAAAAAUCCAAAACCUUGGACAGAAGAACACACUCAAAAAAUAAAAUAUUUAAAAGGAAAAAUUGAAUCAUUACCAUGUUUAUGUUUACCACAUCCUAAAGCAUUCAUGAUAGUUGAAACAGAUGCAUCAGAAUUAGGAUAUGGGGGUAUAUUAAAACAAAGAAUAGAAGAAUCAAAAGAAAAAUUAGUUAGAUUUCAUUCAGGAACAUGGUCUGACCCUCAAAAGAAUUAUUCAACUAUUAAAAAAGAAAUUUUAUCAAUAGUUUUAUGUAUAUCUAAAUUUCAAGAUGAUUUAUAUAAUAAAAAUUCUUGAUUAGAAUAGAUUGUAAAUCUGCAAAAGAGAUUUUACAAAAAGAUGUUCAAAACAUAGUUUCAAAACAAAUAUUUGCUAGAUGGCAAGCUAUUUUAUCCGUUUUCGAUUUUGAAAUUGAAUUUAUAAAAGGAGAAAAUAAUUCAUUACCAGAUUUUCUUACUAGAGAAUUUUUACAAGGACAUGGAUCGUGAAAUGAUGGCCCAAAGAACUGAUCGGGAAUAUACAAAUUAUUUAAGAACCCAAAGAGAUUCUCCUCAACUCCUAAACAAAGAAGCAGUUCUUCAAUCCAGAUGAUAUCAAUAUUUUAUUCCAACCAGCAAUGGAAGACAAAGCAUUCCAGCCUAUCAAAUUUCCAAACAUGAUACAGUUUACAUACAGAGAAGCCCUUUGGCAACCCUUACAGCAAAAGAGAGAGCUUUCCUUCUUCAAAGAGUGAUUCAGAAAAAUACUAUUAGAAUUCAAGUUCUACGAAGAGCAGGAAGGAAUGAAGAAUUUCUUCAACAUUACAAAGACCAAAAUAAACAAUUAUCUAACCAACUUAAAGAUGUUGUUUAUUGAUUUUGCAGGAAUAUGGAUUCAAAAGCAGGAAAUUCUAGACCAAAGACUCCUCAAGAUUAUGAGAUGAGUCUUACUCCUGUAACUCAAAAUAGAUUCCAAUUACUAUCAGACUUUCCAGCACUGACCUACAGUCAAGCUGCUUGUACUCCAAUUUCCUCUCAAAUUAGACCAAUCCAACAAAUACCAAAAUCCCCAGAAAAAUUCACAGAAAAUACCUAUUUUACAAAACCAUUUACCCAACAUAUUACUUUAACAAGAUUCCAAGAAAUACCAAUAUAUUCUACACUCAAUCAGCUUACUCAAAAAAUCUUUCCUCAAAAAUGUUAUUGGCAAGCUGAUGAUCCUUCAAAAAAUUUGGAUUAUUACGAACUAAUUCUUACAGAUACUCAAUCUGUAGAAAUAUUCCCCAUUCCAGACAAAAAGAAUCCAAAUAUAAUUAGCCAUUCUAAGUGUAUAAUAAAGAAAGUUUGUUCAUCAAAUGAAUGGACUUCUCUUUAUUCCAAAAAAUCAUUCUCAGUCAGAUUCAUUCCAGAUGGAUUCACAUAUCAAGAUUAUAAAAUGGCAUGGUAUCGUGUUUUUUUAUACAGACCAUUCAAUCAUUCAUGGUUCUUCACAUUCAAAGAAAGUUGUGCCAGAGAAUUUCCAAUUUGGUUCAAUCAUUGGUGGCAAUGGUUCGGCCCUCAAAAGGAAAUAUUACCUCCAAAUGUGUUAAUGGGAUUUCAGACUUAUCUCAAAAGAGCAAAGGGGGAAGAGUAUAUAAGACCUAUAUUAUUCCAUAUGGAAUUCAAAGUACCAUGGAUAUUUUGCUGGAGUUUCAAAAUUCAUCAAGAAUUAGAAAAACCUCUUCCAAUGUCACUAGUCAGAGAAUUCAAAAUCAAAUGGUGGACUGGAUUCAAUCAAGAAUUCGGAGAUCAAACCAAUGUGAUAAGAUUCUUGACUACUGGAGACAAACUAAAGUGGACAAGACAGCCAACUAAUAUUCCAACCACUACACCUACUCCAACCACUCCAAAGAAAGAUAAAGAAAAGAUGACAGAUAUGGCAUCCGAAGAAAUUGCAAGCAACUUUCUGAUAAAGCAAAUGAUGCAGAAUCCCGAGAUACUCAAAGAAUAUUUGAAUUAUUUGCAAAAGCCAGAUAAGAAAGAAGAAACUGACAAAAUUGAGAAGUCAGCUGGAUCAUCCGAAUCCACUUUUGAUCCCUUUGGUGGACCAUGCGGACAAGACCCAAAUGACUUUUGAAAAAAGAUGUCGGCCACAAUUCAAGAAAAGAAAAUGAAAUUCAAAUGCAGAUGAAAUGCAAAGGCAG
Molecule: long non-coding RNA, 7034 nt
Filed under: Coffea arabica (coffee)
Lineage: Eukaryota; Viridiplantae; Streptophyta; Magnoliopsida; Gentianales; Rubiaceae
Description: long non-coding RNA (CARA_LNC006812)
Source: RNAcentral